This 31-nucleotide non-coding RNA is filed under the name Mus musculus (house mouse). The record is from RNAcentral. Lineage: Eukaryota; Metazoa; Chordata; Mammalia; Rodentia; Muridae.
UCAGAGUACCUCACUUCCCAGUUGCCUCUCC